RNAcentral lists this ribosomal RNA (264 nucleotides) under uncultured bacterium. RNAcentral describes it as "partial 16S ribosomal RNA". It matches the Rfam family "Bacterial small subunit ribosomal RNA", at positions 524 to 788 of the family's 1533-position model. The record is from RNAcentral.
UACGUAGGGGGCAAGCGUUGUCCGGAGUUACUGGGCGUAAAGCGCACGCAGGCGGUCUCUUAAGUUUGGAGUGACAGUUGGUGGCUUAACUGCCAAAGUGCUUCGAAAACUGAGAGACUUGAGGGCUUCAGAGGGACACGGAAUUCCGGGUGGAGUGGUGAAAUGCGUAGAGAUCCGGAGGAACACCAAAGGCGAAGGCAGUGUCCUGGGGAGUACCUGACGCUCAGGUGCGAAAGCCAGGGGAGCGAACGGGAUAGAAACCCC